AUUAAGUUUUAACCAUUAAAAAAAUUGAUAUGAUUAGUAUAAGAACAUUAGUUCUUGAAUGAACAAGGUAUAAAAUUUACACCCACUUUCUGAGUGUACAUAUGGCAUUGCUCAAAUUAGAAUUAGUCGCACAUAUAUCGGAGAUAUAAGUUGGAUUAGAUACUCUUAAAAAUAAACGGUUCAUUUUAUUGCGAAGUCGUUUUCGAAGAUUGAUUGGUGGAAGCUAAA
This 228-nucleotide long non-coding RNA is filed under the name Ananas comosus (pineapple). Its description in RNAcentral is "long non-coding RNA (ACOM_LNC027435)". Lineage: Eukaryota; Viridiplantae; Streptophyta; Magnoliopsida; Poales; Bromeliaceae. The record is from RNAcentral.